This 497-nucleotide ribosomal RNA is filed under the name uncultured bacterium. Its description in RNAcentral is "partial 16S ribosomal RNA". It matches the Rfam family "Bacterial small subunit ribosomal RNA", at positions 38 to 507 of the family's 1533-position model. The record is from RNAcentral.
GGGGGGGGGGGGGGGGGGGGCGAGGGGAGGCGGGUCGAGCGGGCGGGCGGGGAGCGGGCUGCCCGGAGGUGAGCGGCGGACGGGUGAGUAACACGGGGAUAACCUACCUAUAAGGCUGGGAUAACUGCGGGAAACCGGAGCUAAGACCGGAUAAUAUUUUGAACCGCAUGGUUCAAAAGUGAAAGAAGUUCUUGCUGUCGCUUAUAGAUGGUCCCGCGCUGCUUUAGCUAGUUGGUACGGUAACGGCUUACGAAGGCAACGAUGCAUAGCCGACCUGAGAGGGUGAUCGGCCACACUGGAACUGAGACACGGUCCAGACUCAUACGGGAGGCAGCAGUAGGGAAUCUUCCGCAAUGGGCGAAAGCCUGACGGAGCAACGCCGCGUGAGUGAUGAAGGUCUUCGGAUCGUAAAACUCUGUUAUUAGGGAAGAACAUAUGUGUAAGUAACUGUGCACAUCUUGACGGUACCUAAUCAGAAAGCCACGGCUAACUACGUG